CGGGGUGCAGCAGGCGCGAAACCUCUGCAAUAGGCGAAAGCCUGACAGGGUUACUUUGAGUGAUUUCCGUUAAGGAGAUCUUUUGGCACCUCUAAAAAUGGUGCAGAAUAAGGGGUGGGCAAGUCUGGUGUCAGCCGCCGCGGUAAUACCAGCACCCCGAGUGGUCGGGACGUUUAUUGGGCCUAAAGCAUCCGUAGCCGGUUCUACAAGUCUUCCGUUAAAUCCACCUGCUUAACAGAUGGGCUGCGGAAGAUACUAUAGAGCUAGGAGGCGGGAGAGGCAAGCGGUACUCGAUGGGUAGGGGUAAAAUCCGUUGAUCCAUUGAAGACCACCAGUGGCGAAGGCGGCUUGCCAGAACGCGCUCGACGGUGAGGGAUGAAAGCUGGGGGAGCAAACCGGAUUAGAUACCCGGGUAGUCCCAGCUGUAAACGAUGCAGACUCGGUGAUGAGUUGGCUUUAUGCCAACUCAGUGCCGCAGGGAAGCCGUUAAGUUUGCCGCCUGGGGAGUACGGUCGCAAGACUGAAACUUAAAGGAAUUGGCGGGG
RNAcentral lists this ribosomal RNA (545 nucleotides) under uncultured archaeon. Its description in RNAcentral is "bacterial SSU rRNA". It matches the Rfam family "Archaeal small subunit ribosomal RNA", at positions 326 to 873 of the family's 1478-position model. The record is from RNAcentral.